This 585-nucleotide long non-coding RNA is filed under the name Lupinus angustifolius (narrow-leaved blue lupine). RNAcentral describes it as "long non-coding RNA (LANG_LNC001911)". The record is from RNAcentral. Lineage: Eukaryota; Viridiplantae; Streptophyta; Magnoliopsida; Fabales; Fabaceae.
GGGUCACUCAAAUAUUUUAUCAUAAAAAUGACUAAUAUGCCACACAGUCCCUAUUGAAACCAACAUCACUAAUCUUUACCAUAUUAGUAGAGAGGCAAGAACAUCUUUAAAAAAGAAACUACACAUCAACAUGUCUUCUAAUUCAUCACUAACCUUUACCAUAUUUCAGUCAUUAUAAUGGGUCACCUGCAUCCAGGGUAAAUGAUUCCAAAAAAAUGUGGAAUCAAGGAUAUUAUUGAGAUAUUCAUCGACUUAAAGGUGAUGAUGGUGUCACUCUCACAUUUAAUUUAAUUGCUGAAUGUACUUUGUGUCUUACCUAAAAAUAGCAACCUGAAAAAAUGAAAACUUCAUCAAAAGUGGAAAUGAAAAAGGGAAUGAUUUAAUUUACCUUAGAUUACAAUUUGAAUGAUAAUGUGAUGAUGAUGAAAACUCGGAUCCAUGUCAGGAAGAGUGUCUGAAUUGCAUUGUCAUGUAGAACUAUAACCAUUUGUAGAAAAGUAUUCCUUUAACAUUAACGGAGAAAUGAAGCAAACCAGAGUGACCUAAAUUUGGAAUUAAGGAAACUAGAGAUGAAGCAAACCAGAG